GUGUAGGCUGGUUUUCCAGGCAAAUCCGGAAAAUCAAGGCUGAGGCGUGAUGACGAGGCACUACGGUGCUGAAGCGACAAAUGCCCUGCUUCCAGGAAAAGCCUCUAAGCAUCAGGUAACAUCAAAUCGUACCCCAAACCGACACAGGUGGUCAGGUAGAGAAUACCAAGGCGCUUGAGAGAACUCGGGUGAAGGAACUAGGCAAAAUGGUGCCGUAACUUCGGGAGAAGGCACGCUGAUAUGUAGGUGAAGCGACUUGCUCGUGGAGCUGAAAUCAGUCGAAGAUACCAGCUGGCUGCAACUGUUUAUUAAAAACACAGCACUGUGCAAACACGAAAGUGGACGUAUACGGUGUGACGCCUGCCCGGUGCCGGAAGGUUAAUUGAUGGGGUUAGCGGUAACGCGAAGCUCUUGAUCGAAGCCCCGGUAAACGGCGGCCGUAACUAUAACGGUCCUAAGGUAGCGAAAUUCCUUGUCGGGUAAGUUCCGACCUGCACGAAUGGCGUAAUGAUGGCCAGGCUGUCUCCACCCGAGACUCAGUGAAAUUGAACUCGCUGUGAAGAUGCAGUGUACCCGCGGCAAGACGGAAAGACCCCGUGAACCUUUACUAUAGCUUGACACUGAACAUUGAGCCUUGAUGUGUAGGAUAGGUGGGAGGCUUUGAAGUGUGGACGCCAGUCUGCAUGGAGCCGACCUUGAAAUACCACCCUUUAAUGUUUGAUGUUCUAACGUGGGCCCCUUACCGGGGUUGCGGACAGUGUCUGGUGGGUAGUUUGACUGGGGCGGUCUCCUCCUAAAGAGUAACGGAGGAGCACGAAGGUUGGCUAAUCCUGGUCGGACAUCAGGAGGUUAGUGCAAUGGCAUAAGCCAGCUUGACUGCGAGCGUGACGGCGCGAGCAGGUGCGAAAGCAGGUCAUAGUGAUCCGGUGGUUCUGAAUGGAAGGGCCAUCGCUCAACGGAUAAAAGGUACUCCGGGGAUAACAGGCUGAUACCGCCCAAGAGUUCAUAUCGACGGCGGUGUUUGGCACCUCGAUGUCGGCUCAUCACAUCCUGGGGCUGAAGUAGGUCCCAAGGGUAUGGCUGUUCGCCAUUUAAAGUGGUACGCGAGCUGGGUUUAGAACGUCGUGAGACAGUUCGGUCCCUAUCUGCCGUGGGCGCUGGAGAACUGAGGGGGGCUGCUCCUAGUACGAGAGGACCGGAGUGGACGCAUCACUGGUGUUCGGGUUGUCAUGCCAAUGGCACUGCCCGGUAGCUAAAUGCGGAAGAGAUAAGUGCUGAAAGCAUCUAAGCACGAAACUUGCCCCGAGAUGAGUUCUCCCUGACUCCUUGAGAGUCCUGAAGGAACGUUGAAGACGACGACGUUGAUAGGCCGGGUGUGUAAGCGCAGCGAUGCGUUGAGCUAACCGGUACUAAUGAACCGUGAGGCUUAACCUUACAACGCCGAAG
RNAcentral lists this ribosomal RNA (1446 nucleotides) under Escherichia coli. RNAcentral's name for it is "partial 23S ribosomal RNA". It matches the Rfam family "Bacterial large subunit ribosomal RNA", at positions 1518 to 2925 of the family's 2925-position model. Lineage: Bacteria; Pseudomonadati; Pseudomonadota; Gammaproteobacteria; Enterobacterales; Enterobacteriaceae. The record is from RNAcentral.